This 406-nucleotide ribosomal RNA is filed under the name Acanthamoeba sp. RNAcentral describes it as "SSU rRNA". It matches the Rfam family "Eukaryotic small subunit ribosomal RNA", at positions 762 to 1101 of the family's 1831-position model. Lineage: Eukaryota; Discosea; Longamoebia; Acanthamoebidae. The record is from RNAcentral.
AAAAUUAGAGUGUUCAAAGCAGGCAGAUCCAAUUUUCUGCCACCGAAUACAUUAGCAUGGGAUAAUGGAAUAGGACCCUGUCCUCCUAUUUUCAGUUGGUUUUGGCAGCGCGAGGACUAGGGUAAUGAUUAAUAGGGAUAGUUGGGGGCAUUAAUAUUUAAUUGUCAGAGGUGAAAUUCUUGGAUUUAUGAAAGAUUAACUUCUGCGAAAGCAUCUGCCAAGGAUGUUUUCAUUAAUCAAGAACGAAAGUUAGGGGAUCGAAGACGAUCAGAUACCGUCGUAGUCUUAACCAUAAACGAUGCCGACCAGCGAUUAGGAGACGUUGAAUACAAAACACCACCAUCGGCGCGGUCGUCCUUGGCGUCUGUCCCUUUCAACGGGGGCAGGCGCGAGGGCGGUAGCCCAG